Fukomys damarensis (Damara mole-rat) is the source of this 1359-nucleotide long non-coding RNA. RefSeq lists it as uncharacterized. The transcript is spliced from 5 exons. The record is from RefSeq and is a predicted model, not a curated record. Lineage: Eukaryota; Metazoa; Chordata; Mammalia; Rodentia; Bathyergidae.
AGGGCCAGAGGGAAGCGGGAUCUCUGCUGCGCUAGCACCGCAGGGAGCGGGCGCAACCCGGCGGGCCAUGGGUAGCGAAGUGCAGCUCCCCACUGAGGCCGCCUGGUCUCCGCCCCCCUGAGCAUAGCUCUGGCCCUGACCGGGAUCCGUGGCUGGGGCCCCCUUGUGGAGCAGGCAGCAGGGGAGUCAGCGGCAGCUUCUCCCACAGGCUGCCUGUGCUGGGGCCUUUCCAAGCCCCAGCUUUGGUCUGGGCCUGGAUAAAUGUGGUCUCCAUAUCUCCAGGGAGUUUUCAGGUUCUCCAUCCCACCUGUUUCCCCAAACUGGACAAAGAACCCAUGGGGUAACCAUCCAGCACCCCCACAAGGAAGCCAACCUGGGGUCUUCCCAGAAACAUCCUAGACACCCCAAGAGAUCAAGCUCAGGACCUCGCGCUUUCAAGGCAGGCGGCACCACCCCAUCUUUCAAGACCCUUGAGGCUAGCCACAGACCCUUGGGCUCAAGUUGUCCUAUUGCUUCAGCCUCUCAGAGCCGUGCAGAGCUGCUGAACAAGACACAGCAGGACACGUACUGACAGCCGCAGGGCAGUGUGCACCCACAGGAGCCCACCUGUCACCCGGCUGCCCGCCUUGGCCUCUGCCGUCACCACCAGAUCCACGGAGUCACUCCAGCAAGCUCACAGCCCAAUUCCUGUCGUCUCACCCCUACUGCUGAGCCAUAGGGGCCCCUGGCCAGGGGUGGACCAGUUUGUUGCCAGUUGUGUGUGGGAAAAGUGAGGCACAGAGAGGCUCAGCACCAUGCCCACAGUGAGUCGGUAAUGGGGUUUGGAGCUGGGCUGCCUACGCCUGCCCAGAGCGAGCGCCACCACACCUUCCCCUCACACUGCAUCCCCACCUGUCCCGUGGAAAAGGGAUGUAGGAGGCUCCUUCUCUGUGCCCAGUGGCCCACUCAGCCAGGUGAAGUCGGUGCGGCGAUGAUGCGGUGGAGGAAGGUCUAUGGCGAUCCUGUGUGAGCCAGGGCUUGGGGAGGACCAUCUAGGUGCUACCAGCAAGAUGUGAGCAAGGGGAGGGCUGGCCCGCGGGGACCCCCUAGCCCCGCCCCACUGCCGUGCUGGGAACUGGGCCGGCAGGGGCUUGCUGCCCUCACCGCCUUCGAGGGCUGCUGGGUGGCGGACAGUUUGCUUCAGUGGCAGCCUGAGCCCAUCUGGACUUGGCCACCACUCCUUGCCCAUGUGCUGGCCCCUGGCCCGUGUCUCCAGUGUGGGACCCGGACGUCCCCAGCCUCUUCCUCCCUGCCAGCCGUUGGACGUCUCUUGGCCAUGGAGUGACCCUGAAGCCACAUCCACCUGCCCUCCUCAGAGUG